Molecule: regulatory RNA element, 297 nt
Organism: Cavia porcellus (domestic guinea pig)
Lineage: Eukaryota; Metazoa; Chordata; Mammalia; Rodentia; Caviidae
Rfam family: Mason-Pfizer monkey virus packaging signal
About the family: The packaging signal is located in the 5' UTR and is required for specific RNA encapsidation.
Source: Rfam
UGGCACCCAGUGUGGGGCUCCUGGCAUGAAGGGCUCAACGAGGGAGCCAUCCUGAGACGUGCACAUAAGAAGGGAACUAAGAGUUUUGUGACCAACACUACGCAGGAGCCUGCUGUACCACUCGAGUCACGGUAAGUGGACGGCGAUCCUUUCCCUUUUUUUCCAGAAUGGGUCAGGGAUUAAGUGAUCAUAAAUGCUUUGUGUCAGGUUUAAAUAAAGCUUUAAAGACAAGAAGGAUAAAGGCUAAAGAAAAAGAUUUAUUGUAGUACUUUCAAUUUAUUCAUAAGGUUUGCCCUU